Manis javanica (Malayan pangolin) is the source of this 375-nucleotide non-coding RNA. The record is from RefSeq and is a predicted model, not a curated record. NCBI's taxonomy places the organism in Eukaryota, Metazoa, Chordata, Mammalia, Pholidota, Manidae.
CUGAGUCCCACAUGGCAGGCUGGUGAGACCUGCCUCCCAGAACAUGCACCAACUUUACUGCGCCCCCAGGACACCAACCAGAGAAAGAGGCGGGAGCAGAUGAUCACUACAUGACAGAGAAGCUGCCCCUGCUCCUCACUGGUAUGGAGAAACCAGCUCGGUAAACCCUGCUGCUUCUUGGGGGCACUGGGCUCCCCUCAUCCCUGACCUCAUGGACCAACCUCCGAACAACACGAUUUUGGUUCCCAAGGUACAGGACACAAAGGGCUGUGAUCCUCAAAGCAACAAGAGAAAACGACCUCUCGUCUUGGCCCUCGGCUCAUCUGGUGACUCCGGAAGGGAUUGACUCACCUUGAUCUCAACCUGGUGCCUCUC